This 27-nucleotide non-coding RNA is filed under the name Mus musculus (house mouse). Lineage: Eukaryota; Metazoa; Chordata; Mammalia; Rodentia; Muridae. The record is from RNAcentral.
UAAAUGUAGACACUCAGCUUGCUUCCC